AGAGUUUGAUCCUGGCUCAGAACGAACGCUGGCGGCGUGGAUAAGACAUGCAAGUCGAACGAGAGAAUUGCUAGCUUGCUAAUAAUUCUCUAGUGGCGCACGGGUGAGUAACACGUGAGUAACCUGCCCCCGAGAGCGGGAUAGCCCUGGGAAACUGGGAUUAAUACCGCAUAGUAUCGAAAGAUUAAAGCAGCAAUGCGCUUGGGGAUGGGCUCGCGGCCUAUUAGUUAGUUGGUGAGGUAACGGCU
Molecule: ribosomal RNA, 248 nt
Filed under: uncultured bacterium
Lineage: Bacteria
Description: partial 16S ribosomal RNA
Rfam family: Bacterial small subunit ribosomal RNA
Source: RNAcentral